UGUCACAGAAAGGACAGCUAUGUUAAGUGAAUGAAGAAAGCUCUUGCAUCAGCCCUUGUGUGGCAGAUCAGACAAUGGUUGCAAUCUAAGGCGGCCACUUCGGCAUCACCAGGAAAAGGAAAUACAUCGCCAGGCAACAGCAGUGGAAAGGACAAAAGAGGGAUUGCAAAAACAUCAGUAGGUUAAUUUACAAAGGUUUGAAAACAGGCCUUGUGGUGAUAAUAUGAAAAUGGAAGGAAAAUUCAGGCUUCUUACUUCAAAGAUAUUUCAUUCACUGAGAAAGUGAAGUGACAUGCAAGAAAAUAACAUGUGUGAGUAGCAACUUGAUAUUUAUCUUGUUUUCAGAAGAAGGAAAAGUUAAAGCUUCAUCCAUGCUUGCUAACUGAAAAAAACAAAAAAGAAUUAAUAUGUGAAUUGUACCAUUUAAAUGUUCCCCAGAUUGGUAUGACUCAUCAGAACACAUUUAUUGGCAAGAAAUUACUUCUGGAUGUAUAGUACCAUA
Long non-coding RNA from Candoia aspera, 502 nucleotides. RefSeq lists it as uncharacterized. The record is from RefSeq and is a predicted model, not a curated record. NCBI's taxonomy places the organism in Eukaryota, Metazoa, Chordata, Lepidosauria, Squamata, Candoiidae. The transcript has 3 exons.